RNAcentral lists this non-coding RNA (90 nucleotides) under Streptomyces sp. WM6386. RNAcentral's name for it is "Streptomyces RNA 3202". It matches the Rfam family "Streptomyces RNA 3202". Rfam says of the family: Identified by deep sequencing of transcriptome at the end of exponential growth phase. Appears smaller on northern blot than sequencing transcript. Lineage: Bacteria; Bacillati; Actinomycetota; Actinomycetes; Kitasatosporales; Streptomycetaceae. The record is from Rfam by way of RNAcentral.
CCAAGUCCCGACGCACUCCCCCCGGCGCCGGGACUCUCCGCGAGCCGGACUUCGGCGCUCUCCCCCCGGGUGCCGGGGUCCGGCUCUGCC